Molecule: ribosomal RNA, 1116 nt
Filed under: Betaproteobacteria bacterium SCN2
Lineage: Bacteria; Pseudomonadati; Pseudomonadota; Betaproteobacteria
Description: partial 23S ribosomal RNA
Rfam family: Bacterial large subunit ribosomal RNA
Source: RNAcentral
UUAUAGGGUCAAGCGACUAAGUGCAUGUGGUGGAUGCCUUGGCGAUCACAGGCGAAGAAGGACGUUGUAGCGUGCGAAAAGCUUCGGGGAGCCCGCAAACAGGCUUUGAUCCGGAGAUGUCCGAAUGGGGAAACCCGGCCCGCAAGGGUCACCCAUACCUGAAUACAUAGGGUAUGAGGAGCGAACCUGGCGAACUGAAACAUCUAAGUAGCCAGAGGAAAAGAAAUCAACCGAGAUUCCCAAAGUAGUGGCGAGCGAAAUGGGAAGAGCCUUCGCGUUUUAGCCAUCGGUUUAGCAGAACGGAUUGGAAACUCCGGCCAUAGCGGGUGAUAGCCCCGUAUGCGAAAAGCGGGUGGUGGAACUAGGCGCGAGACAAGUAGGGCGGGACACGUGAAAUCCUGUCUGAACAUGGGGGGACCAUCCUCCAAGGCUAAAUACUCGUAGUCGACCGAUAGUGAACCAGUACCGUGAGGGAAAGGCGAAAAGAACCCCGGGAGGGGAGUGAAAUAGAUCCUGAAACCGCAUGCAUACAAACAGUGGGAGCCUGUCUUCGGAUGGGUGACUGCGUACCUUUUGUAUAAUGGGUCAGCGACUUACGUUCAGUUGCGAGCUUAACCGAAUAGGGGAGGCGUAGCGAAAGCGAGUCUGAAUAGGGCGAUUAGUAGCUGGAUGUAGACCCGAAACCAGAUGAUCUAUCCAUGGCCAGGAUGAAGGUGCCGUAACAGGUACUGGAGGUCCGAACCCACUAACGUUGAAAAGUUAGGGGAUGAGCUGUGGAUAGGGGUGAAAGGCUAAACAAAUCUGGAAAUAGCUGGUUCUCCUCGAAAGCUAUUUAGGUAGCGCCUCGUGUAUCACUCUUGGGGGUAGAGCACUGUAAUCGUUGGGGGGGUCAUUGCGACCUACCCCGCGAUAGCAAACUCCGAAUACCGAGAAGUGCAAUCACGGGAGACAGACUGCGGGUGCUAACGUCCGUGGUCAAAAGGGAAACAACCCAGACCCUCAGCUAAGGUCCCAAAUGAUAUGUUAAGUGGUAAACGAUGUGGGAAGGCACAGACAGCUAGGAAGUUGGCUUAGAAGCAGCCAUCCUUUAAAGAAAGCGUAAUAGCUCACUAGUCG